CGCCUCUUGCUUAAAUUGUAUAAGAGGUACUGCCUGCCCAGUGACACCUGUUUAACGGCCGCGGUAUUAUGACCGUGCAAAGGUAGCGUAAUCACUUGUCCCCUAAAUAGUGACCAGUAUGAAUGGCAAAACGAGAGCUCAACUGUCUCCUUGGAUCUGUCAAUGAAAUUGAUCUUUCCGUGCAGAAGCGGAAAUAUUAUUAUAAGACGAGAAGACCCUGUGGAGCUUCAAACUUAAUGCUAAUUAUAUUAAAUAUUAAUUUAACAUAUAGCUUUGGGUUGGGGCGACCACGGGGUAAAAUAAAACCCCCGAGAUGAAAAGUUUAGAAAAACACUUCAAACAACAAUAUAGUUGACAUAAUUGACCCAACAAUUGAUCAACGAACCAAGUUACCCCAGGGAUAACAGCGCAAUCCUUUCACAGAGUUCAUAUCGACGAAUGGGUUUACGACCUCGAUGUUGGAUCAGGACCCCCCAAUGGUGCAA
Molecule: ribosomal RNA, 485 nt
Filed under: Aneides lugubris
Lineage: Eukaryota; Metazoa; Chordata; Amphibia; Caudata; Plethodontidae
Description: partial 16S large subunit ribosomal RNA
Rfam family: Bacterial large subunit ribosomal RNA
Source: RNAcentral